Molecule: ribosomal RNA, 459 nt
Filed under: uncultured bacterium
Lineage: Bacteria
Description: partial 16S ribosomal RNA
Rfam family: Bacterial small subunit ribosomal RNA
Source: RNAcentral
CCUACGGGUGGCAGCAGUGAGGAAUAUUGGUCAAUGGCCGGAAGUCUGAACCAGCCAAGCCGCGUGAAGGACGAAGGUGCCAAGCAUUGUAAACUUCUUUUGUCAAGGGACAAAAUCAGGCUCGAGAGCCUGACCGAGGGUACUUGAAGAAACAGCAUCGGCUAACUCCGUGCCAGCAGCCGCGGUAAUACGGAGGAUGCGAGCGUUAUCCGGAUUUAUUGGGUUUAAAGGGUGCGUAGGCGGGCUGUUAAGUCAGCGGUAAAAGCCCGGUGCUCAACCCCGGCGAGCCGUUGAAACUGGCUGUCUUGAGAUGUCGAGAGGUAUGCGGAAUGCGCAGUGGAGCGGUGAAAUGCUUAGAUAUUGCGCAGAACUCCGAUUGCGAAGGCAGCAUACCGGCGGCGAUCUGACGCUGAGGCACGAAAGCGUGGGUAUCGAACAGGAUUAGAUACCCCUGUAGUC